This 75-nucleotide transfer RNA is filed under the name Verrucomicrobia bacterium UBA6775. RNAcentral describes it as "tRNA-Lys(ctt)". It matches the Rfam family "tRNA". From Rfam's summary of the family: Transfer RNA (tRNA) molecules are approximately 80 nucleotides in length. Their secondary structure includes four short double-helical elements and three loops (D, anti-codon, and T loops). Lineage: Bacteria; Pseudomonadati; Verrucomicrobiota. RNAcentral also lists the same sequence under 5 other names. The record is from RNAcentral.
GCCUCGAUAGCUCAAUGGUAGAGCAGUUGACUCUUAAUCAAUUGGUUGAAGGUUCGAGUCCUUCUCGGGGUACCA